This 763-nucleotide ribosomal RNA is filed under the name Chondromyces apiculatus. RNAcentral's name for it is "bacterial SSU rRNA". It matches the Rfam family "Bacterial small subunit ribosomal RNA", at positions 27 to 770 of the family's 1533-position model. The record is from RNAcentral. Lineage: Bacteria; Pseudomonadati; Myxococcota; Polyangiales; Polyangiaceae.
GAACGAACGUUAGCGGCGCGCUUAACACAUGCAAGUCGAGCGAGAAAGGGCUUCGGCCCCGGUAAAGCGGCGCACGGGUGAGUAACACGUAGGUAAUCUGCCUUCCGGUGGUGGAUAACGUUCCGAAAGGAACGCUAAUACAGCAUGAGACCACGGUGUCGAGAGACGCAGAGGUCAAAGCGGGCCAAUGAAAUCAAGCUCGCGCCGGAAGAUGAGCCUGCGGCCCAUCAGCUAGUUGGUAGGGUAAUGGCCUACCAAGGCGAAGACGGGUAGCUGGUCUGAGAGGAUGAUCAGCCACACUGGAACUGAGACACGGUCCAGACUCCUACGGGAGGCAGCAGUGGGGAAUCUUGCGCAAUGGGCGAAAGCCUGACGCAGCGACGCCGCGUGAGUGAUGAAGGCCUUCGGGUUGUAAAGCUCUGUGGAGAGGGACGAAUAAGUGCUGGCGAAUAACCAGUGCGAUGACGGUACCUCUUUAGCANGCACCGGCUAACUCUGUGCCAGCAGCCGCGGNAAGACAGAGGGUGCAAACGUUGUUCGGAAUUACUGGGCGUAAAGCGCGUGUAGGCGGCUCUGCAAGUCGGAUGUGAAAGCCCUGGGCUCAACCCAGGAAGUGCAUUCNAAACUGCAGAGCUUGAGUCCCGGAGAGGAAGGCGGAAUUCUCGGUGUAGAGGUGAAAUUCNUANAUAUCGAGAGGAACACCGGUGGCGAANGCGGNCUUCUGGACGGCGACUGACGCUGAGACNCGAAAGCGUGGGGAGCA